ACGAACCGUCCAAACGUUAUUCGGAAUUACUGGGCUUAAAGGGUGCGUAGGCGGCGCGGUCAGUCGGAUGUGAAAUCGUACAGCUCAACUGUACAACGGCGUCCGAUACUUCCGCGCUUGAGGAAGGCAGAGGUGAGCGGAACUCAGGGUGGAGCGGUGAAAUGCGUUGAUAUCCUGGGGAACACCGGUGGCGAAGGCGGCUCACUGGGCCUUUUCUGACGCUGAGGCACGAAAGCUAGGGUAGCGAACAGG
Molecule: ribosomal RNA, 252 nt
Filed under: uncultured bacterium
Lineage: Bacteria
Description: partial 16S ribosomal RNA
Rfam family: Bacterial small subunit ribosomal RNA
Source: RNAcentral